This 243-nucleotide unclassified non-coding RNA is filed under the name Hevea brasiliensis (rubber tree). Lineage: Eukaryota; Viridiplantae; Streptophyta; Magnoliopsida; Malpighiales; Euphorbiaceae. The record is from RNAcentral.
AGAUUAAGCUUCAAAUCCACUAGAGUCUCCGAGAACCCUCUCUUUCCAUUACUCUUGGCAAUCUCACCUUCAUUUGCAUUGCCUGCAGAACAAGGUAACCCCAGACGCAAUUCUGUCUCUUCGAAAUUGAUCGUAGCAUAUUUAUCAUGCUCUGUGCUCAUUAUAUUAGUCAUUUUGCACUAAAUUUACGCCGAAAACCCUCGUUUCAGCCUUCUUCAAUACCCCAGUCUCGGCUUCCUCCCU